Molecule: unclassified non-coding RNA, 370 nt
Filed under: uncultured Gammaproteobacteria bacterium
Lineage: Bacteria; Pseudomonadati; Pseudomonadota; Gammaproteobacteria
Description: contains 16S-23S intergenic spacer region
Source: RNAcentral
UCCGGUUUGUCACCGGCAGUCUCCCUAGAGUGCCCUUGCGUAGCAACUAGGGACAAGGGUUGCGCUCGUUGCGGGACUUAACCCAACAUCUCACGACACGAGCUGACGACAGCCAUGCAGCACCUGUGUUACGGCUCCCUUUCGGGCACAUCCAGCUCUCGCUGGGCUUCCGUACAUGUCAAGGGUAGGUAAGGUUAUUCGCGUUGCAUCGAAUUAAUCCACAUCAUCCACCGCUUGUGCGGGUCCCCGUCAAUUCCUUUGAGUUUUAAUCUUGCGACCGUACUCCCCAGGUGGAUCACUUAUCGCGUUAGCUGCGACACCUAAGCCAAAGCCCAAGCGUCUAGUGAUCAUCGUUUACUGCGUGGACUAC